GGCUGCGUAGUUCAACGGAUAGAAUGAGGGUUUCCUAAACUUUAGAUGUGGGUUCGAUUCCCGCCGCGGCCACAA
This 75-nucleotide transfer RNA is filed under the name Hymenobacter swuensis DY53. RNAcentral describes it as "tRNA-Arg". It matches the Rfam family "tRNA". From Rfam's summary of the family: Transfer RNA (tRNA) molecules are approximately 80 nucleotides in length. Their secondary structure includes four short double-helical elements and three loops (D, anti-codon, and T loops). Lineage: Bacteria; Pseudomonadati; Bacteroidota; Cytophagia; Cytophagales; Hymenobacteraceae. The record is from RNAcentral.